This is a long non-coding RNA of Cucurbita maxima (winter squash), 238 nucleotides long. RefSeq lists it as uncharacterized. The transcript is spliced from 2 exons. Lineage: Eukaryota; Viridiplantae; Streptophyta; Magnoliopsida; Cucurbitales; Cucurbitaceae. The record is from RefSeq and is a predicted model, not a curated record.
CGUGCAUCUGAAAUUUUCGAAUCUACUCUCUGUUCUCACGGCCGAUAUCAGAUUAGGUUGGAGAUUGCCUGAUUGUGUGACCUUGACGCAAGGUACAUUUCCUAAACUAUUAUGCAAGGAUAUUAUAUACAUAUAUAUUUAAAUUAGCUAUUGAAUUCCGUUUGUCGAUGAUGAUUAUAAGUUAUAAUUAAGGUUAUGAGAAGAUUCAGUGAGGCUCAGCGUAUUUAAAGCGGUGCUA